UCGGGAAUUUUGGGCAAUGGGCGCAAGCCUGAUCCAGCCAUGCCGCGUGCAGGAUGACGGUCCUAUGGAUUGUAAACUGCUUUUGUACAGGAAGAAACAGUUCUACGUGUAGAACCUUGACGGUACUGUAAGAAUAAGGAUCGGCUAACUCCGUGCCAGCAGCCGCGGUAAUACGGAGGAUCCAAGCGUUAUCCGGAAUCAUUGGGUUUAAAGGGUCCGUAGGCGGUUAGAUAAGUCAGUGGUGAAAGCCCAUCGCUCAACGGUGGAACGGCCAUUGAUACUGUCUGACUUGAAUUAUUAGGAAGUAACUAGAAUAUGUAGUGUAGCGGUGAAGUGCUUAGAGAUUACAUGGAAUACCAAUUGCGAAGGCAGGUUACUACUAAUGGAUUGACGCUGAUGGACGAAAGCGUGGGUAGCGAACAGGAUUAGAUACCCCCGUAGUCCCUGAGCGGGCUGGCAAGGCGCAU
RNAcentral lists this ribosomal RNA (467 nucleotides) under uncultured bacterium. Its description in RNAcentral is "bacterial SSU rRNA". It matches the Rfam family "Bacterial small subunit ribosomal RNA", at positions 355 to 825 of the family's 1533-position model. The record is from RNAcentral.